AGUGAACGCUGGCGGUAGGCCUAACACAUGCAAGUCGAACGGCAGCACAGUAAGAGCUUGCUCUUACGGGUGGCGAGUGGCGGACGGGUGAGGAAUACAUCGGAAUCUACUUUUUCGUGGGGGAUAACGUAGGGAAACUUACGCUAAUACCGCAUACGACCUACGGGUGAAAGCAGGGGAUCUUCGGACCGUGCGCGAUUGAAUGAGCCGAUGUCGGAUUAGCUAGUUGGCGGGGUAACGGCCCACCAAGGCGGCGAUCCGUCGCUGGACUGAGAGGAUGAUGAGCCACACGGAAGCUGAGACGCGGUCCAGGCUCCUACAGGAGGCAGCGGUGGGGAAUAUUGGACAAUGGGCGGAAGCCUGCACCAGGCAUACCGCGUGGGUGAAGCGGGCCUUCGUGUUGUAAAGCCCUUUUGUUGUGGAAGAAAAGCAGCAGGUUGAUACCCCGGUGUUCUGACGGUACCCGAAGAAGAAGCACCGGCUAACUUCGUG
This 492-nucleotide ribosomal RNA is filed under the name uncultured bacterium. Its description in RNAcentral is "partial 16S ribosomal RNA". It matches the Rfam family "Bacterial small subunit ribosomal RNA", at positions 29 to 507 of the family's 1533-position model. The record is from RNAcentral.